Molecule: ribosomal RNA, 252 nt
Filed under: uncultured bacterium
Lineage: Bacteria
Description: partial 16S ribosomal RNA
Rfam family: Bacterial small subunit ribosomal RNA
Source: RNAcentral
UACAGAGGUCUCAAGCGUUGUUCGGAUCAUUGGGCGUAAAGGGUGCGUAGGUGGCGCCGUAAGUCGGGUGUGAAAUUUCGGAGCUUAACUCCGAAACUGCAUUCGAUACUGCGGUGCUUGAGGACUGGAGAGGAGACUGGAAUUCAUGGUGUAGCAGUGAAAUGCGUAGAGAUCAUGAGGAAGACCAGUGGCGAAGGCGGGUCUCUGGACAGUUCCUGACACUGAGGCACGAAGGCCAGGGGAGCAAACAGG